Molecule: ribosomal RNA, 497 nt
Filed under: uncultured bacterium
Lineage: Bacteria
Description: partial 16S ribosomal RNA
Rfam family: Bacterial small subunit ribosomal RNA
Source: RNAcentral
GAUGAACGCUGGCGGCGUGCCUAAUACAUGCAAGUCGAGCGAACAGACGAGGAGCUUGCUCCUUUGAUGUUAGCGGCGGACGGGUGAGUAACACGUAGGUAACCUACCUAUAAGACUGGGAUAACUUCGGGAAACCGGAGCUAAUACCGGAUAAUAUUUCGAACCGCAUGGUUCGAUAGUGAAAGAUGGCUUUGCUAUCACUUAUAGAUGGACCUGCGCCGUAUUAGCUAGUUGGUAAGGUAACGGCUUACCAAGGCAACGAUACGUAGCCGACCUGAGAGGGUGAUCGGCCACACUGGAACUGAGACACGGUCCAGACUCCUACGGGAGGCAGCAGUAGGGAAUCUUCCGCAAUGGGCGAAAGCCUGACGGAGCAACGCCGCGUGAGUGAUGAAGGUUUUCGGAUCGUAAAACUCUGUUAUUAGGGAAGAACAAACGUGUAAGUAACUGUGCACGUCUUGACGGUACCUAAUCAGAAAGCCACGGCUAACUACGUG